AGUGCGCAUGCACAGCCGGGUGAGAUCCAGCUGUUGGGAAGGCCCUGUGUUUUCUGUCUGUCCGUACUCUGUUAUAAAGGGAUUGAGGUUGCAAUUUUCUCUUCCUUUCUGUCUUCCACCUCACGCCGGUCUCAGCGAUGGGGAAGCUGAACGUAGUGUUGCUGAGGUACCUACAGAAAGAUGAUUUCAGAGUGCUGGUUGGGGUCGAAAUGGGAAUGAAGAAUCAUGAAAUUGUUCCACCUAGUCUUAUUGCUUCAAUAUCAAACCUUAAACAUGGUGGAUGCAACAAGAUCCUGCGUGAAUUGGUAAAACACAAACUGUUGGCUUACGAGAGAACAAAAACGGUUCAGGGUUAUCGAUUGACAAAUACUGGAUAUGAUUAUCUCGCCCUGAAAACUCUUUCUUCACGAAAUGUCUUUAAUUCAGUUGGAAAUCAAAUGGGUGUUGGCAAAGAAUCUGAUAUUUAUAUUGUUGCAAAUGAAGAAGAAGAACAGUUUGCUUUAAAACUGCAUAGGUUGGGUCGUACAUCAUUUCGGAAUCUGAAGAACAAACGUGACUACCACAAACACAGACAAAAAAUGUCAUGGCUUUAUCUCUCUCGUCUUGCAGCAAUGAAAGAAUAUGCAUAUAUGAAGGCAUUAUAUGACCGAGGAUUCCCUGUUCCCAAACCAGUUGAUUUCAACAGACAUGCUGUAGUCAUGGAGCUCAUAAAUGGCUACCCCAUGUGCCAAGUUCACCAGCUUGAUAAUCCUGCAGAAACAUACAACGAAUUAAUGGAUCUUAUUGUUAAACUCGCUAAUCAUGGUUUAAUUCAUGGUGACUUCAAUGAAUUUAACUUGAUGUUGGAUGAUGAGGACCAUAUCACAAUGAUUGACUUUCCACAGAUGGUAUCUACAUCUCAUCUAAAUGCUGAAUGGUAUUUUAAUCGGGAUGUAAAAUGCAUUUGUGAUUUUUUUAUCAAGCGCUUUAACUACGAAAGUGAACUUUAUCCAACCUUUAAGGAUAUCAGGAAGGUGGCAUCACUGGAUGUGGAGAUUGAGGUCAGUGGUUACACUAAAGAGCUCCAAGAAGAUUCUGAGCUGCUACAUGCUUCAGGCCCUGAAACAGAUGAUGUUGAAACCGGAUUUUCAGAAGAUGAUUUUGAUGAUGAAAGUAAAUUCUCAAAUAAAACAUCUGAAAAUGUUGAUUUGGUUUUUGAAAAUAAGACAGACACUGAAGAGAUUCCUACUCCUAAUUUAAACAUUGUGGAAGAAACAUGUGCAGAAGUUGCAGAAACCAGUGAAGUUGAAAAUAUUGAUCUGCAAAAUCUGAAAAUUAAUGUACAUGAUACUGAAAAGCAAUAUAUUGAUUUUGUUGAUACUGUUGAACUCUCUGAUGUUGAUGCAGAAUAUAAUCUUGUACAUUCCUCCGAAACCGCACAUCGUACAGGCCAGAGUGAUGAGGAUCUAAGAGAUGAAGAGAAAUGCCCAGACUUAGUCAAUCUAUCAACUCAAAACAAGGAAUUUAGACCUUUCAGAAAUGAACUGAGCUUGAUGCAUGUCAGUGAGCACAGACAGAGGACUACCAGUUUAAGUUCUGUGGGCAGUCUGCUAAGUACUUCAACAAUUCCUUCAGAUGUCAUCAAAAGGAAAGUUAAACAACAACUAUCCAAACAGCAGAAGGCAGCAAUGAGAAGACGCUUGCAGAAGGGAGAGGCCAACAUCUAUACUAAACAGCGACGAGAAAACAUGCAGACUAUUAAAUGGAGUGCUGAAGCAGAAAACUUUUGGGGUUGAUCUUGGCAAUCAAAAGACUGGAGAUAGUUAUCCCGUCAAUCUAGGCUGAAUUGAAGACCAGGUUCCAGAAUGUUUUUUCUUUCUUUAUUCAUUCACUGGAUGAGGGUGUCUUUGGCCAGACAGCAUUUAUUGCCCAGAGGAAACUUAAGAAUCAACCACAGUGCUGUGGGUCUGGAGUCACACGUAUACCAGCAGAAGCAGGCAUGCAGUUUGAAGAUCAAUGACUAUGAACAGAGCGUACUGAAGAAUCUUGAGAUAGAGGGUGUGCAGGGGCAGACGGUCAGGACCUCUCUGAAUGCCAUGGAUAAUACCAUUCUUCAUUUUUAAUGCUUUAUCUCUGUAUUCAGUACCUCAAGGCCUUCAUCAUUGUACUUCAGCAGAACACAAAAUGUCUUGUAAACUUUGUUUCAAAGUGUGAUUUAUUGUUAGCAUUGAAGAAUAUGGACUGCAGUAGUUCAAGAGGGCAGCUCAUCACUACCUUCUCAAGGACAAUAAAUGCUGGCCCAGCCAACAAUGCCAAAUCCUGCAAGUGAAUAAAACGUAGCUUCUUGAGCUUUUAAAAUGUUCAAGAGACAAAAAUGUAAUAGAACUUAGUAACUGAUUCAUUAUAAUUCUCCCACUUUUAUACAUACAUUUACUU
RNA transcript from Stegostoma tigrinum, 2415 nucleotides. It is a transcript of the gene named RIO kinase 2 (yeast), with no coding region annotated. NCBI's taxonomy places the organism in Eukaryota, Metazoa, Chordata, Chondrichthyes, Orectolobiformes, Stegostomatidae. The record is from RefSeq and is a predicted model, not a curated record. The transcript has 12 exons.